Molecule: unclassified non-coding RNA, 208 nt
Filed under: Hevea brasiliensis (rubber tree)
Lineage: Eukaryota; Viridiplantae; Streptophyta; Magnoliopsida; Malpighiales; Euphorbiaceae
Source: RNAcentral
CGAAGUUGUUGAAGAUGCUGAUCGCCGUCACUGUGUCGUCCGGCGCAUAGAUCACGUAGUAGGCGAUGAAGCCGUCGACAUCGCUGAUGAUCGGAAUCGCGCCUUCCUUGAUCCUGCGCGCCAGUUCCUCGACCAUGCCGGUUUUAGCUUUUCCCUGACGAAUAGCGGCGUACAUGACCCCCUCCUUCACCGGUCGGCUGCUCAAGGU